UGGGGGAUAUUGCACAAUGGGCGAAAGCCUGAUGCAGCGACGCCGCGUGGGGGAUGAAGGCCUUCGGGUUGUAAACUUCUUUUGCUCUGAACAAGGCAGGCCUUUGGGGUGUGUUGAGUGUAGGGGUGGAUUAGCGCCGGCUAACUACGUUCCAGCAGCCGCGGUAAUACGUAGGGCGCGAGCGUUGUCCGGAAUUAUUGGGCGUAAAGGGCUUGUAGGUGGCUGGUUGCGUCUGUCGUGAAAGCUCCUGGCUUAACUGUGGGUUUGCGGUGGGUACGGGAUGGCUUGAGUGCAGUAGAGGAGGCUGGAAUUCCUCGUGUAGCGGUGGAAUGCGCAGAUAUCAGGAGGAAUACCGGUGGCGAAGGCGGGUCUCUGGGCUGUUACUGACGCUGAUGAGCGAAAGCGUGGGGAGCGAACAGG
Molecule: ribosomal RNA, 420 nt
Filed under: Fusobacteriota bacterium
Lineage: Bacteria; Fusobacteriati; Fusobacteriota
Description: Fusobacteria bacterium partial 16S ribosomal RNA
Rfam family: Bacterial small subunit ribosomal RNA
Source: RNAcentral